This 140-nucleotide ribosomal RNA is filed under the name Neottia nidus-avis. Lineage: Eukaryota; Viridiplantae; Streptophyta; Magnoliopsida; Asparagales; Orchidaceae. The record is from RNAcentral.
AUUCUGGUGUCCUAGGCGUAGAGGAACCACACCAAUCCAUCCCGAACUUGGUGGUUAAACUCUACUGUGGUGACAAUACUGUAGGGGGGGCCCCGCGGAAAAAUAGCUCGACGCCAGAAUGAUAAAAAGCUUAACACCUC